RNAcentral lists this transfer RNA (73 nucleotides) under Trichonephila inaurata madagascariensis. It matches the Rfam family "tRNA". Rfam says of the family: Transfer RNA (tRNA) molecules are approximately 80 nucleotides in length. Their secondary structure includes four short double-helical elements and three loops (D, anti-codon, and T loops). Lineage: Eukaryota; Metazoa; Arthropoda; Arachnida; Araneae; Nephilidae. The record is from Rfam by way of RNAcentral.
GUCCCUGUAGCGCAAUGGAUAGUGCGUUGUACUUUUAAUUCAAAGGUCGUGGGUUCGAAUCCCUCCUGGGAUG